Long non-coding RNA from Vidua macroura (Pin-tailed whydah), 362 nucleotides. RefSeq lists it as uncharacterized. The record is from RefSeq and is a predicted model, not a curated record. The transcript has 3 exons. Lineage: Eukaryota; Metazoa; Chordata; Aves; Passeriformes; Viduidae.
AGGAAGACACACAGGAGAGAAAUGCCAAGAUCAGUCUGAAGGAAGACGUCAUUGAUGCUGUCAGAGUGAAUCACAUCAAUUUUGGGGACUGUGCUCUCGGGAAGCCCUGCCACAGGACCUUCAGCAUCAGCAACCACAGCCAGACGAAGGUCAUGCACUUUGAGUGGGAGGCAGGCGCCCCAUUCCAGUUCUCCCCCAAGGUGGGACACCUCCAUCCUGGCUGUGCCAAGGACAUCACAGUGUCCUUGAAAUCAGAUGUCCCAGCCACCUUCAGGAGGCACCUUGUGAAAUGUAAGGUGACCAAGGUCAACUUUGAGCUGCCACAAAGGAAGGUUCCCGACUGGGAUGACCAAAUGCGCGCU